RNAcentral lists this long non-coding RNA (255 nucleotides) under Ananas comosus (pineapple). Its description in RNAcentral is "long non-coding RNA (ACOM_LNC025117)". The record is from RNAcentral. Lineage: Eukaryota; Viridiplantae; Streptophyta; Magnoliopsida; Poales; Bromeliaceae.
GAAACGAAAGCACCAGACAAAUAAGGCUAACAAUUUUUACUUUUAUUUUUUUAGAGAUACGUAGCACAUUACCUGUUUUGUUUAUUUCAUUUAGAAAUAAACUUAGCUAGAAAUGUGAAUCAACUAGAAUUCGAACUUGGAUCUCAGAUACCAACUACCAAGCGCUUUGCCACUUUGCUCUAGGGACGGUCGGUCAAGCUAACAAAAUUUUAAGAAUAAGAAUAAAAGGAAAGGACAAUGUGAAAGGAGAAAAGA